RNAcentral lists this ribosomal RNA (594 nucleotides) under Oestropsyche vitrina. RNAcentral's name for it is "partial large subunit ribosomal RNA". The record is from RNAcentral. Lineage: Eukaryota; Metazoa; Arthropoda; Insecta; Trichoptera; Hydropsychidae.
AUCAGGGGUAAACCUGUGGAACUCGAACGAACGAACGGGGAGGUUCACCGUAUUUCCGUAGGUACGCGGCGCGACGCGCCGCGCCCCGUCGAAACGUUCGCGCGUAAGCGUCGAGCGUUUCGCGGGCGCGGCACGCGUCGCGUCGUCGCACGGCCCGCGGAGUGCGUGCACUUCUCCCUUAGUAAAACACCGCGACCCGUUCGCACGAGUGUGCGUGUGCGAUCUAACGCGUCGUGCGGUUGACCCGUUUCGAACGUAAAAAAUUCGGGACGGAGUCGCGACGUUUCGCGAUCGCCGUCGGACGGUAAAGCACGAGGUUCACGUUCGCCGCGUAUUGUGGUGGUGCGGCGUGCGGCUCCCUUCGCGGGGUGUCGCGCGUCGCCGAGCAGGCGUCCGUGACGCGUACCGAACGGACCGCGUUCGGACCCCGGCGUUUCUAGCGUCGCGGGCUUCGAGCGUUCGCGUGCGGCGCGCGUGCGUUUCGGCGCGCGCGCGUCGUUCGCGUCACGCGUCCGUUCGUUGUGUAUGGCGCGUCGUCUCGGACGGAACGCGUCCCGGUCCGCGGUGGUUUUGUUUCGGGCACUCACAGGACCC